GGGGAAUCUUGCGCAAUGGGCGAAAGCCUGACGCAGCGACGCCGCGUGCGGGACGACGGCCUUCGGGUUGUAAACCGCUUUCAGCAGGGACGAAAUUGACGGUACCUGCAGAAGAAGCUCCGGCCAACUACGUGCCAGCAGCCGCGGUAAGACGUAGGGGGCGAGCGUUGUCCGGAUUUAUUGGGCGUAAAGGGCUCCUAGGUGGUUCAGUCAGUCGACUGUGAAAAUCCAAGGCUCAACCUUGGAACGCCAGUCGAUAUUGCUGUGACUUGAGUUCGGUAGAGGAGUGUGGAAUUUCUGGUGUAGCGGUGAAAUGCGCAGAUAUCAGAAGGAACACCAACGGCGAAGGCAGCACUCUGGGCCGAUACUGACACUGAAGAGCGAAAGCGUGGGGAGCAAAC
This 401-nucleotide ribosomal RNA is filed under the name uncultured bacterium. RNAcentral's name for it is "bacterial SSU rRNA". It matches the Rfam family "Bacterial small subunit ribosomal RNA", at positions 356 to 773 of the family's 1533-position model. The record is from RNAcentral.